UACAGAGACUGCAAGCGUUAUUCGGAUUCACUGGGCGUAAAGGGUGCGCAGGCGGCCGUGUGUGUCGGGUGUGAAAGCCCGGAGCUUAACUCCGGAAUUGCGCCUGAAACUACAUGGCUAGAGCAUUGGAGAGGGUAGCGGAAUUCACGGUGUAGCAGUGAAAUGCGUAGAUAUCGUGAGGAACACCAGAGGCGAAGGCGGCUACCUGGACAAUUGCUGACGCUCAGGCACGAAAGCGUGGGGAGCAAAAGGG
Molecule: ribosomal RNA, 253 nt
Filed under: uncultured bacterium
Lineage: Bacteria
Description: partial 16S ribosomal RNA
Rfam family: Bacterial small subunit ribosomal RNA
Source: RNAcentral